AAUUUAAAUCCCUAACCGAGACCAAUUGAGGGCAAGUCUGGGCCAGCAGCCGCGGUAAUUCCAGCUCCAAUAGCGUAUUCUUAAGUUGUUGCAGUUAAAAAGCUCGUAGUUGAACUUUGGGCAUGGGCGGGCGGUCUACCUAAGGUAAGUACUGUGGCGGCCGGGUCUUUUCCUUCUGGCUAAUUCUUCGGAGUGAACCAGGACGAUUACUUUGAGGAAAUUAGAGUGUUCAAAGCAGGCCUUUGCUCGGAUAUAUUAGCAUGGAAUAAUAGAAUAGGACGUUAUGGUUCUAUUUUGUUGGUUUCUAGGACCAUCGUAAUGAUUAAUAGGGACGGUCGGGGGCAUCAGUAUUCAGUUGUCAGAGGUGAAAUUCUUGGAUUAACUGAAGACUAACUACUGCGAAAGCAUUUGCCAAGGACGUCUUCAUUAAUCAAGAACGAAAGUUAGGGGAUCGAAGAUGAUCAGAUACCGUCGUAGUCUUAACCAUAAACUAUGCCGACUAGGGAUCGGGUGGCGCUUCUUGCCCACUCGGCACCUUACGAGAAAUCAAAGUCUUUGGGUUCUGGGGGGAGUAUGGUUGCAAGGCUGAAACUUAAAGGAAUUGACGGAAGGGCACCACCAGGAGUGGAGCCUGCGGCUUAAUUUGACUCAACACGGGGAAACUCACCAGGUCCAGACGUAAUAAGGAUUGACAAGCUAGAGACUUCUCUUGAUCUUACGGGUGGUGGUGCAUGGCCGUUUUUAGUCCUUGGAGUGAUUUGUCUGCUUAAUUGCGAUAACGGACGAGACCUUAACCUGCUAAAUAGGGCUGCGAGCAUCUGCUCGUGGGCUCUUCUUAGAGGGACUAUGGGUUUCAAACCCAUGGAAGUUUGAGGCAACAACAGGUCUGUGAUGCCCUUAGACGUUCUGGGCCGCACGCGCGCUACACUGACGGAGCCAGCAAGUAUAUCCUUGGUCGAGAGGCCCGGGUAAUCUCGUGAAACUCCGUCGUGCUGGGGAUAGAGCAUUGUAAUUUUUGCUCUUCAACGAGGAAUUCCUAGUAAGCGCAAGUCAUCAGCUUGCGUUGAUUACGUCCCUGCCCUUUGUACACACCGCCCGUCGCUACUACCGUGUUGAAUGGCUUAGUGAGGCUCCAAGAUCGGCGCCGCUGGAGGCUCAAC
Molecule: ribosomal RNA, 1160 nt
Filed under: Pichia kluyveri
Lineage: Eukaryota; Fungi; Ascomycota; Pichiomycetes; Pichiales; Pichiaceae
Description: SSU rRNA
Rfam family: Eukaryotic small subunit ribosomal RNA
Source: RNAcentral